Molecule: long non-coding RNA, 857 nt
Filed under: Androctonus crassicauda
Lineage: Eukaryota; Metazoa; Arthropoda; Arachnida; Scorpiones; Buthidae
Source: RNAcentral
AGCAUUAAUUAGCUCCCAUUCAGUGAUUAAUUUCAUUACUGUGUUCGAAUUUUUACUAUUGUCUUGACGCGUGUUUCGAAGACAGAUUUUUAUCAAGGUAACAACAUUUACGUUGUAUAAUGUAGAAAUUAUGUUUCGAGUUGCAAGUUUCUGUUUUAUAAAUAACAAUUUUCAUAUUUUCCUAGUAUUUCUGACGUCAACAACAGGCGGAAAAUAUUCACCUCUAGGCGCAUUUCUUUCAUUUUAAUUAGACAUCCGAAAUUAACCAUUGUCAUCAUUCUAAACUAAGAAACAAAAAAACAUUGUUAGUAUUGAUUCUUUGUUACGUUAUUCUCAAACUUUCAUCAAAUUUUUUAAUAUACAAAGCGAGGUGGAAGAAAACGAGUAUUUUCCAGCAAUCGAUAGGUAAUUUCCAAUCAUUUAAACACCCAAACCGCAGACAAUAAUAACUCGUCUUUAAAUCAUUAACUUUAGGUAUAGUUUGGUGGCACGAUGCAGCCGGAGGGACGAUCCUCACGAGUGGGAUGAUGUGUGGAAAUAUGUUGAAUGCCUUCAGAAUCCAGUCGAAACCUUGAACUUUAUUAUAAAGGAAAAAAAAACAAUUUGAUUAUAAUUCUAAUUGCGGUAAAAGGACGUCGAGCGUAUCUAAGUAUAGCCAGUUUUUGCAGUUGUACUAGUAAGAGAAACGAGCCGCAGCCAUCUAAACCCACUGAUUUGAUAUUUAUAUCCUCUCCUACUCCAUUCUCUAUCCGAUUCGGGAAUUUUCUUACUCCCAUUGUAGUAGUCACUCGACAAAUACGUAACGUUUAGCAUAAAAACCGGCUUAAGAUUUGAUGAUGCAAAAUUCAAAACAGUUC